Molecule: ribosomal RNA, 207 nt
Filed under: uncultured bacterium
Lineage: Bacteria
Description: partial 16S ribosomal RNA
Rfam family: Bacterial small subunit ribosomal RNA
Source: RNAcentral
AGCGUAGACGGCAUGGCAAGUCUGAAGUGAAAUGCCAGGGCUUAACCCUGGAACUGCUUUGGAAACUGUCUAGCUAGAGUGCAGGAGAGGUAAGUGGAAUUCCUAGUGUAGCGGUGAAAUGCGUAGAUAUUAGGAGGAACACCAGUGGCGAAGGCGGGUUACUGGGCGACAACUGACGGUGAGGCGCGAAAGCGUGGGGAGCAAACA